Molecule: unclassified non-coding RNA, 330 nt
Filed under: soil metagenome
Description: partial contains 5.8S ribosomal RNA, internal transcribed spacer 2, and large subunit ribosomal RNA
Rfam family: 5.8S ribosomal RNA (bases 1-120)
Source: RNAcentral
GAUGAAGAACGUAUCGAAAUGCGAUAAGUAAUGUGAAUUGCAGAAUUCAGUGAAUCAUCGAAUCUUUGAACGCACAUUGCGCCCUCUGGUAUUCCGGGGGGCAUGCCUGUUCGAGCGUCAUUACAACCCUCAAGCUUUGCUUGGUAUUGGACAUUGCCAGUUUCUGGCAGGUCUUAAAAUCAGUGGCGGUGCCAUUUGGCUUCAAGCGUAGUAAUUCUUCUCGCUUUGGAGAUCCAGGUGGUUACUUGCCAAUAACCCCCAAUUUUUUCAGGUUGACCUCGGAUCAGGUAGGGAUACCCGCUGAACUUAAGCAUAUCAAUAAGCGGAGGA